RNAcentral lists this transfer RNA (71 nucleotides) under Bavayia goroensis. RNAcentral's name for it is "tRNA-Trp". The record is from RNAcentral. Lineage: Eukaryota; Metazoa; Chordata; Lepidosauria; Squamata; Diplodactylidae.
AGAAACUUAGGUUAAACAUAAACCAAGGGCCUUCAAAGCCCUAAACAGGGAAUAUUAACCCCUAGUCUCUG